RNAcentral lists this ribosomal RNA (435 nucleotides) under Triticum aestivum (bread wheat). RNAcentral's name for it is "partial small subunit ribosomal RNA". Lineage: Eukaryota; Viridiplantae; Streptophyta; Magnoliopsida; Poales; Poaceae. The record is from RNAcentral.
AUGAAUAUUUUUGUGCUGGAGCAGGCUGCAAGUUUAAGGUUUGGCUGCAAAUCUGGGAUGCAGGAGGUGAAAAUUCAUUGUCUAAUACGUUUCUCAGUUUUCCUCUUUCAGAAGCGAGAUAUUUUUCAAGAUCUUGCUCCACUGUUGUGGCACUCCUUUGGCACUGUUGCUGCACUGCUCCAGUGUGUUGCUUCACACCCUGAGACCAGGAUCCCGUUCUUGAAUGCUCACAUCCCACUGUACCUGUACCCGUUCCUUAAUACUACCAGCAAGACCAGACCUUUUGAGUACUUGAGGCUUACCAGCUUGGGUGUUAUUGGUGCUCUUGUGAAGGUUGAUUAUUCUGAAGUUAUUGGGAUUUUGCUUCAAACUGAAAUAAUCCUUCUGUGUCUGCGUACUAUGGAGAUGGGCAGUGAACUUUCCAUAACAGUAUGA